UACGUAGGGUGCAAGCGUUGUCCGGAAUUACUGGGCGUAAAGGGCGCGUAGGCGGCCUGCUAAGUCGAACGUGAAAUCCCUGGGCUCAACCCAGGAACUGCGUCCGAUACUGGUUGGCUUGAAUCCGGGAGAGGGAUGUGGAAUUCCAGGUGUAGCGGUGAAAUGCGUAGAUAUCUGGAGGAACACCGGUGGCGAAGGCGACAUCCUGGACCGGUAUUGACGCUGAGGCGCGAAAGCCAGGGAGCAAAGCGGG
This 253-nucleotide ribosomal RNA is filed under the name uncultured bacterium. RNAcentral's name for it is "partial 16S ribosomal RNA". It matches the Rfam family "Bacterial small subunit ribosomal RNA", at positions 524 to 777 of the family's 1533-position model. The record is from RNAcentral.